Non-coding RNA from Camellia sinensis, 119 nucleotides. The record is from RefSeq and is a predicted model, not a curated record. Lineage: Eukaryota; Viridiplantae; Streptophyta; Magnoliopsida; Ericales; Theaceae.
GCUUGGCUUAGUUAGGGGGCAUAAACUAAUUUGGAACCAAAUAUGGUCCUCGACCAAGGCUUUUUUUGUAGGACUCUUUGUUUCACCAUCAAUUGUUUCCCAAGCAGCUUUGGACAUUU